CCUACGGGAGGCAGCAGUAAGGAAUAUUGGACAAUGGACGCAAGUCUGAUCCAGCCAUGCCGCGUGAAGGAUUAAGGCCCUCUGGGUUGUAAACUUCUUUUAUAGGGGACGAAAAAAGGGCUUUCUAGCUCGACUGACGGUACCCUAUGAAUAAGCACCGGCUAACUCCGUGCCAGCAGCCGCGGUAAUACGGAGGGUGCAAGCGUUAUCCGGAUUCACUGGGUUUAAAGGGUGCGUAGGCGGGCAGGUAAGUCAGUGGUGAAAUCUUCGAGCUUAACUCGGAAACUGCCAUUGAUACUAUUUGUCUUGAAUAUUGUGGAGGUAAGCGGAAUAUGUCAUGUAGCGGUGAAAUGCUUAGAUAUGACAUAGAACACCGAUUGCGAAGGCAGCUUGCUACACAAAUAUUGACGCUGAGGCACGAAAGCGUGGGGAUCAAACAGGAUUAGAUACCCUGGUAGUCCACGCCCUAAACUAUGAUUACUCGACAUUUGCGAUACACAGUAAGUGUCUGAGCGAAAGCAUUAAGUAAUCCACCUGGGAAGUACGACCGCAAGGUUGAACGUUAAAGUAGUAGUAGCGNGUAGAGUAGCGACGACGACGACACGGGAGGAGG
Molecule: ribosomal RNA, 613 nt
Filed under: uncultured bacterium
Lineage: Bacteria
Description: bacterial SSU rRNA
Rfam family: Bacterial small subunit ribosomal RNA
Source: RNAcentral